Molecule: long non-coding RNA, 5204 nt
Filed under: Setaria viridis
Lineage: Eukaryota; Viridiplantae; Streptophyta; Magnoliopsida; Poales; Poaceae
Description: long non-coding RNA (SVIR_LNC002475)
Source: RNAcentral
ACUCUCUCAUCUCUCAAGAUACAAGUUCAAUGUCUGAUGAAGAAAAAGCUGAACGUGUUGCUGCCAUGAAGUGUCUUAGGAAGUCUUUAUUUCCUGAAAUAAGCUAGUCAGGUAUGCACACAUUAUGUAGUUUAAUUUUUUAUUCAGUUAUAGAAUAGCUGAUAACUGAUUAUAUAAUGAUUUCAAGUAUAGGAUAAUUAAUUUUGGGCGCUGGAAGCCAUGGUGAGUUGUCUUCUGCUGGACAACAGAAAAAUAUUUGCUAGUUCUUUUAGUAAACAGCCCAGCUGAUGAUGGCCUGUUGCCUUCGUUUACACAGGCAUUAGAUGAAACCUACUUGUGUGAACAUGUCUACUUGUCGAAUGUUUGAAUAUGUCUACUUGUGUGAACCUAUGUGAAUGCGUGGUAAACACCUGAUCUGCCAGAUUUUUCAGUUACUUGUAUGUUAAAUAGUCCACUGUCUGCAUGUCUCCCCUUGUAAAACUGUCCACCGACUGCAUGUCUCCUUUGAAACCGCGUACAGACUGCAUAUCUCCCGUAUGAAAUUCCAUCCAUUCAUAGGCUGCAGACUAUAAAUAGGUGGCUUGCUUCCAUUCAUUCAGCAUAUAAACUUUGUUUUUCUAGUACUAUGGAACCACAUCCACCUACCGAUGAUGAAGAUGAUCUACCAGAAGCCGAUGACUUUGAUCCUACAGAGGUGUUCACCGUGGAAGAUUUCCUAGCAGAAGAUGAAAUUGUAGAAGAAUUUGUGAUGCAGAUUGGAGAUGGAUUAAAGGCAGACAUCGAAGGAGGAACAUCGUCUGUGACUCGGCGCCGACGACAAAGUGGACCAAGGAGGUACAUACCAAGGAGUCGAGAACAAGGUCAUGAUGAUCUUGUUGCUAAUUAUUUUUCUGCAAAUCCUAUCUUCACCGAUGAGAUGUUUCGUAGAAGGUUUCGAAUGAAUAAACCAUUAUUCCUGCGCAUCGUUGAAACUCUUAGUAAUUGGGAUCCUUAUUUUACUAGAAGAGUUGAUGCAACUGGUAGAGAGGGACAUUCACCCCUUCAGAAGUGUACUGCAGCAAUCCGGAUGCUAGCAUAUGGCUCGCCGGCCGACCAACUUGACGACGUCCUAAAAAUUGCUGCAAGCACUUCUUUGGAGAUUCUUGGAAAAUUUGCUGUAGGUGUGAUUGAAUGUUUUGGUCAAGAGUACCUGCGCCCUCCUACAAGUGACGAACUAGAAAAAAUUUUGCAAGAAAAUGAGGCUCGUGGUUUUCCAGGAAUGUUGGGAAGCAUCGAUUGUAUGCAUUGGGCAUGGAAGAAUUGUCCUAAAGAUUGGGCAGGCAUGUUCACACGUGGUGACAAAGGUGUUCCUACUAUGAUUCUUGAAGCAGUGGUAUCUCAUAAUCUUCGUAUCUGGCAUGCUUUCUUUGGUACCGCCGGGUCUCAGAAUGACAUCAAUGUCCUAAACAAGUCACCAUUGUUCAUCAAUGUUCUAAAAGGGGAAGCUCCAAGGGUACAAUACACCGUAAAUGGAAAACAGUAUGAUAUGGGCUACUAUCUCGCUGAUAAAAUAUAUCCAGAAUGGGCGGUCUUCUUGAAAACAAUAACAGCCCCCCAGACUCGUGAAGACAAAUUAUUUGCAUUGAUGCAAGAAGGAGCAAGGAAGGAUGUCGAAUGCGCAUUUGGCGUAUUGCAAUCCCGCUUUGAUAUUGUUCGUCGGCCAGCAAGGUUAUGGAAUCGGGAGGAUGUUAUCAACAUAAUGCAAGCUUGUGUUAUCCUUCAUAAUAUGAUAGUGGAGGAUGAGAAGGAAUUGGCUAGAGUUUCCUUGGAUUUGAAUGAGAAUGCAAGUACGACGAUUGUGCUCCCGCCUGAAGUGCAUAUAAGUGAUAACCCCAAUCCAUGCUUCGCGGAGGUGCUUAGAAGGAAUUCCGUUAUCCAAGCACGGCCAACGCAUAGACAACUCAGGGACGAUCUUGUUGAACACAUAUGGCAUCGCUAUGGAAACAAAAAAAUUAGAUAUGAAUAUUUCAGUCGUAUUUGAUUUAUGGGGACGAAGAUCUAUGUUAUAUUUGAUUGAAAUAUAUAGUAUAAUAUAAUAUAUGUUUUACUUUGCAGAAUUUAUUUUCUAUCCAUUAGCAACGCAAUAGUAUAUAGAAAUACUAUUCAUGAUUGAUCAUGGUUGCAUGCAAACAUUUAAUGAUUUGUUGACAGCCAAAACAGAUAGCAGCUGUCUGUGGGUUGUACGAGCUGUCUAUUUAGCCGUCUAUGUUGUAAAUUCCAAGAACUUAGAGACAGCAGCUGUCUCACUGUUGUACAUGCCCUUAUGUUGCAGGUUCGUUCUCCAAAGAAAAUCUUUUAUCUUUCCUUUUUUUAGUUCGCUUUCACGAUUCUUGCACAUAAGGAGGAAUGUCAAUCUAUCCCAGCUAAUCCUGCGCACUGAUCACGCAGUUCUUUGAUCAGGUCGAAGCAGCCCGUUACGAAGGUAGGAGUCGCUUGAUACUAGUGGAGCACGUUAUUUAAUAUAAAAGCUCGCUGUCUAAUGGCAUACAUCAGGCCUACGGUAUAUAUAUCUAAUGAAAAUAUUAAACAUCUGAUCAUGCAGUUCAUCUCUUCUAUUAUUUCAUCAACAAAUAGUUGACAUCAUGGGGAGUGGAGUACACAACAUGCACGGCGCACAUUGACACAUGACACUAACAAAUCAAAGCAACACUAAAAAUUGAUGAUAAUUCAUCAGCUUAAGGCUGAUGAACGAUGAACCGGACAGACUGACGCGUGCAUCCAUGUACGAGACAAACUACUCUAUCCUCCUAAUCUUGUCGCUGCUUCCGCCGCCGCCGGCGGCGGCCAUCACAGCUGUUUCCGAAGACCUCUUGGGGCUCGCGAUGGCCUUGGCCUUAGCCGCCUUCGCCUGCAGCUCGCGGGCCACCAGGGCCCUCAGCCGCAGGAGAUGCUGCUCGUGCGCGGCCAGCUCCGGCGCCCCCAUCGCCGACACGUCCCUGGCCACCGCCCGCCCGAUCAGGUCCUUCAGCUGCGCCUCCCGCCCGGCGCCGAGGAACUCGUUCCUGACCGCGGUGCCGUCGUCGGGGCGGAACACGAUGGCGUGCACGUCGACGCCGAACUCGCGCGCCACGUCGCGCGCCUGGGACAGCAGCUCCGCGUGCUUCGCCUCGAACAGCGCCUGCUGCGGCGGCUGCGUCGCGUUGGCCGCAGCGGCGCUCGGCGCCGGGGCGGGGUCGCCGGCGGCGUCGGGUUUCUUUGCGCCGGUUUCCAUGGCUCUGGUGGCGAUUGGAUUGGAUGGUGCGCUCUGGCUUGUCCACGUGAUAAGAUCACCUGGGCCUGUGCGCCCAUAUAUGUAGCUAGGAGCUUCUCCGACUAGAGGCUCGGAGUCGGAUUUAAUUUGGUUUCCGACAGUGAUUAGCAGUUAAUAUUCCUUAUUAGGAAAAGAGUCGCGUGGAAAUAUGCUGACGUGUAGUAAUAUUCCUGUGAUUAACUGAUCAUGCUCGUAUUUGAAAUUGAUUUGUUUUCGUUGAUAGGCGCGCGCAUCCAUAUCUGUCUGAAUCGGACAAGGAAGAGCUCUGCCUGGUGAUGGACGGCCAGAAGCUGUCCCUCGAGCGGUGCACAACAAGCGUCUUCCGUUCCGUGCCAUCGUGCAGGUUCUCUUCUUUGAGCAGCUCCAGCUGCGGAGCUCCAUUGCGGAUAUCUCCGAGCCCUUCGAUGGCGGCGUCUCGGGGCAGCCCACCGGCCUGCCAGUCUCCGGCGAGCACCACCGCGGCGCUUUCGGCUGGCAAGAGCAGGUUCACGUUCGCGCUCGCCGCAAGUCUGCAGCACCAAGCACUAAGGACAAGGAGGCUGCUCCCGAGACGUCAACGACGGCGGCGGCGAGCGAGGAGCCGAGGACAAGCUGGGCGUGGUCAUGGGUGCCGCUGGCAGUGACCGGCUAGAUCGCAGAAGCUCAGAAAGUACGAGAUGAACCUGUCUGCCUGUUUGAUAUAUUCGACAUACGCUACAGAGCCAAAAUGAACUCGACGACUGAUCAUAUGUUUUUUGACAUUUGCUCUCAGUGAAAAUGCAGAGCCAGCAUCUUUUGGACUAUCUUGACAGUCAUUGCAUUUCGAAAUCCAGUGUUUGCAGCAUUUUUCACAUCCAUAUGCCCCAUUGGAGGAACGUUCCAUUCUGUCAGAUAUUCAAAUUUAGAAAAAUUUUACUAGCAGCAUCCUACGAAACUCCUGUGAACUUUAGCAAACUCUUAGCUGCAAGAGCUCCCCAAAACGUAGAAGGAGCUAUUUUUUUUUGUUGGAAUAAACUUUCCAUUAAGAGCUGUACCUUGCGAGGCAAGAGCAUGCCCAGCUCUGUUACAAGUCCGGGGAUAGUGCACGACGCUGGCAAAAAAAAGAGAAACACGGCCUCUCUAAACAACACAACUCUCAGCUUUGCAAUGCCAUCUUCAGUUUAAUUGGAUCUGUUCUAACUUAUAAUCACAAUCCUCCCCACGCCUGAAUUUGUAGAAAGCUUUAAUGACGGAAUGCACGCCAUAGAGCUUCAGCUUGCAGAGCAUGUUUGUCACUGAGCACUUGAGCAGCCUGCACUUCAGCAACCUCUCACACCACAUCGGCUUGCCUCGAAAAGAAGACCGGCCCAGCUGCAGGCUCAGCAUAGUAUGCACAACCGUCGCAGCCCAAUAUCAGGCAAGCCCAUCUCGCCUGCCACGAAAGGAAACCCUAGCGCCCCCGCGAAUCCUACCUAUAAAACGCACGGCCGCCAACUUCAUCCCCCAGGUUAAAGCGACGCCGCCGCCACAAGCCGUCCGCCUUGCCCCCUCGAAGGCUUGGUCCUCCUCCUCCGUGUAUCUCCACCCCACAGAUCCGCCGACGCCUCUAGCUAGGGUUAGGUUUCCUCUGCAGCGAUGGCGAUCAAGCGGACCAAGGCGGAGAAGAAGCAGGCGUACGACCGCAAGCUGUGCAGCCUGCUGGAUGAGUACACCAAGGUGCUCAUCGCCCUCGCCGACAACGUCGGCUCCAAGCAGCUCCAGGACAUCCGCCGCGGGCUGAGGGGCGACUCAGUGGUGCUCAUGGGGAAGAACACGCUCAUCAGGCGCUGCAUCAAGGCUUACGCUGACAAGACGGGGAACCACACCUUCGACCCGCUCAUGGACCUCCUCGUCGGCAACGUUGGCCUCAUCUUCACCAAGGGUGACCUCAAGGAGGUCCGCGAGGAGGUCGCCAAGU